GGAUGCGAUCAUACCAGCACUAAAGCACCGGAUCCCAUCAGAACUCCGAAGUUAAGCGUGCUUGGGCGAGAGUAGUACUAGGAUGGGUGACUUCUUGGGAAGUCCUCGUGUUGCAUUCC
Molecule: ribosomal RNA, 119 nt
Filed under: Triticum aestivum (bread wheat)
Lineage: Eukaryota; Viridiplantae; Streptophyta; Magnoliopsida; Poales; Poaceae
Also listed under: 1 other name
Source: RNAcentral